UACAGAGGUCUCAAGCGUUGUUCGGAUUCAUUGGGCGUAAAGGGUGUGUAGGUGGCGCCGUAAGUGGGGUGUGAAAUUUCGGAGCUUAACUCCGAAACUGCAUUCCAUACUGCGGUGCUUGAGGACUGGAGAGGAGACUGGAAUUUACGGUGUAGCAGUGAAAUGCGUAGAUAUCGGAAGGAACACCGGUGGCGAAAGCGGCGCGCUGGACAGUUCCUGACACUGAGACACGAAGGCCAGGGGAGCAAACGGG
Molecule: ribosomal RNA, 253 nt
Filed under: uncultured bacterium
Lineage: Bacteria
Description: partial 16S ribosomal RNA
Rfam family: Bacterial small subunit ribosomal RNA
Source: RNAcentral